ACGAAGCCGCCCUGACUGCCCAAUGGCCUUCGCUCUAAUAAAGAAGACUCCUCACUCCAGCAGCGAUCAGCCACUCCACUCCAGAUCGAAGGAAGCUUUGUUCUCAGAAGAAGAAAAGUUGCGUGAGCUAGCCAUGGCCUUCGCCGACACAGCAGCACGGAGGCUCCUGCGCGGCGCAGGUGGCGGUGUGGCUCGAGGAAUCGCCGCCGACGCCGUCGGCAUGAGCUUCGCCCUCGACGGAUUGUGGCAGAUCAUCGCGGGCCUGUUCGCGAGCGCGGCUCACCUGCUCGUCCUGCCGUUCGAGGUGCUCGGGCACUUGCUCGCCGCCGCGGCUCACCUGCUCGUCCUGCCUUUCGAGGCGCUCUGGCACUUGCUGCAGUCCGUCAUCGCCGGCGUUAGCUUUUGUUUCGACAGCCUCUUCGCCACGCUCGGGAGCGCGGCCCACGCUCUGGUGGUGCCGUUCGAGGCGCUCUGGCACUUGCUGCAGUCCGCUGCCGCGGGCGUUACCUUAUGCUUCGGAAACCUCGUUGCGGCGAUCGGGAGCGUGCCCCAUGCUCUGGCGGUGCCGUUCGAGGCGCUCUGGCACUUGCUGCAGUCCGCUGCCGCGGGCGUUACCUUAUGCUUCGGAAACCUCGUUGCGGCGAUAUCGGGAGCGUGCCCCAUGCUCUGGCGGUGCCGUUCGUGGCGCUCUGGCACUUGCUGCAGUCCGCCGCCGCGGGUAUCGGCUUCUGCUUCGGCAACCUCGUCGCCGCGCUCGGUAGCGCAGCCCACGCUCUAGUGGUGCCGUUCGAAUCGCUCUGGCAGUGGCUCCAGGCCGCGGCCGCCGGCGUCAGUUUCGGCUUCCACGGUCUGGGGCAGCUCAUACAUGGCUGCAUCGCCAACCUUCCCGCCGCGCUCGCCAGCGCGGCCCACGCACUGGUGCUGCCGUUUGAAGCUGUAUGGCAGUGGCUCCAGGCCGCGGCCGCCGGCGUCAGUUCCAACUUCGACGGCUUCUGGGAGCACAUGCAGGGCCUCUUCGCCAACCUUCCCGCCGCGCUCGCCAGCGCUGCCCACAACCUCGUCCUGCCGUUACAGGCCUUCUGGCGGUGGAUACAGAACACCGUCGCCGGCGGCUGGGACGGCUUUUGGCCGCUCAUCCAGCGCUUCGUCGCCACGGCCGCGAGCACGGCCCACGAGCUUGUCCCGGCCGUGGAGGCGUUGUGGCGGUGGCUCAAGGACGCCGCCGCCGUCGCGCUCCCCGUCGUGCUGGCCAUCGCCGCCGUCGUUUGCGUCGCGACCCUAGUCUGGUUCUGGUGGCGGGUCCUCGGCGUCGCGGCCUUCGUGGCCGGCGUGCUGGUCGCGCAAGCGCUCGUCCUGGCCGGAGUGCUGGUCGCACAAGCGCUCGUCUUGGUCAUCUGCAUCUGCGGGCGCUGCUUGUUCGUCGUCGCCAUGGGGGUCGGGGGUGCGCUCGCCUACCUACUCCCCAUCUGUGGGCAGUACUGCGCCAGCGUUACCAUGGCUGCACCAGAGGUCGCCGGCGUGCUGAUAUCACGCGCCGCGUUCAAGGCGGAACCGCGGAUGUACUUCCAGAUCCUCCAUUUGGCUGGCCCCCUCGUGGCCUCUGCUGUCUUCUCCACGAGCCCCCUCCCCUGGGCGGUCGGACUGUCGGUCGUCGCCCUUUUCAGCCGUGGAUUUUCAGGCGGCAAAGAGCCGAUGCCGAGGUGCAAAACCUUGUCGACGACUCCUGAGGAAGAUCAGAUCUGGAUUCACGAGGAUGAUCAGAUGUGGACUCCUGCAGAAGAUCAGCCUAUUAUCAUAGUAGAAUAACUUUUAUCCAUCGAGGGACGCCGUCGGAUCCAACUUUUGUCUCCGUUCCACAGGUGUGUCUUGUAGUAAAACCUCCUUUCUCCAUUUGCACUAGAGGACCAAUGUAUGCCCCUUUCGAUGUAAUUUGUGCGUACUUUAAUUUGUCUUGCUUGGCUGCUUGAUGUAUGUUUUCCAAAUCCAGUUUCCACGGAUCAUAUGCCAACUUAUGUCUUGACAA
Molecule: RNA transcript, 2023 nt
Organism: Aegilops tauschii subsp. strangulata
Lineage: Eukaryota; Viridiplantae; Streptophyta; Magnoliopsida; Poales; Poaceae
Source: RefSeq, a predicted model, not a curated record